Molecule: long non-coding RNA, 598 nt
Organism: Panicum virgatum (switchgrass)
Lineage: Eukaryota; Viridiplantae; Streptophyta; Magnoliopsida; Poales; Poaceae
Exons: 2
Source: RefSeq, a predicted model, not a curated record
CUAUCCUCUGGAUCGGGAUCGACUCUCCAGACCGAGACUCGCACCGACUGCCACCCCAGCAGACUCCCGCCGCCGCCACCCCUCCCGGCGGCUCCCGCCGCAGCCGCCCUCCAGCGCCUCCCGCGCGGCUCCGGCACCGGGCGCGGGCGGCCUCGGUUCCCGCCGCCGCGGGCAGGUCGGCCCCGGACGCCGCAGGCGUGGGGGGGCACGGCCGCGAAGCACCGCCACCCUGCAUCCACCGCCACGGCCACGAAGCGCCAAUCAUGGUAGACUGUCAUCGUUGGUGAGGCUCCCUGAUGUCUGAUGUGCUGCUCUAUGAGGAAGACUGAGCGAAAUGGAUGAACCUGUCAUCUUAGGCCUGCUUCUGGUGCCUCCUGGAAGAGCUACUACUAUGAAAUUCCUUGUUUUCUAUUGAGUUGAAGCUCGACUGGUGCAUGCCAUUGUGAUCAAGUUAGCUGUGGAUGUUCUUGUUAAAUUCAUCCUGAAUGCCAGGCACAUUUUUCAGUUACUGUUUGGUUAAUGCAUCAUUCGGCUACAUGGAACAAGAUUGCGUGCUGUUGUUGUCAUGUUAUAAAAAUAGCAUUGGCAUUCACUGUUA